RNAcentral lists this ribosomal RNA (841 nucleotides) under marine metagenome. RNAcentral's name for it is "bacterial SSU rRNA". It matches the Rfam family "Bacterial small subunit ribosomal RNA", at positions 476 to 1318 of the family's 1533-position model. The record is from RNAcentral.
UACCCGAAUAAGAAGGUCCGGCUAACUUCGUGCCAGCAGCCGCGGUAAUACGAAGGGACCUAGCGUAGUUCGGAAUUACUGGGCUUAAAGAGUUCGUAGGUGGUUGAAAAAGUUGGUGGUGAAAUCCCAGAGCUUAACUCUGGAACUGCCAUCAAAACUUUUCAGCUAGAGUAUGAUAGAGGAAAGCAGAAUUUCUAGUGUAGAGGUGAAAUUCGUAGAUAUUAGAAAGAAUACCAAUUGCGAAGGCAGCUUUCUGGAUCAUUACUGACACUGAGGAACGAAAGCAUGGGUAGCGAAGAGGAUUAGAUACCCUCGUAGUCCAUGCCGUAAACGAUGUGUGUUAGACGUUGGAAAUUUAUUUUCAGUGUCGCAGCAAAAGCGAUAAACACACCGCCUGGGGAGUACGACCGCAAGGUUAAAACUCAAAUGAAUUGACGGGGACCCGCACAAGUAGUGGAGCAUGUGGUUUAAUUCGAAGAUACGCGCAGAACCUUACCAACACUUGACAUGUUCGUCGCGACUCUAAGAGAUUAGAGUUUUCGGUUCGGCCGGACGAAACACAGGUGCUGCAUGGCUGUCGUCAGCUCGUGUCGUGAGAUGUUGGGUUAAGUCCCGCAACGAGCGCAACCCUCACUUUUAGUUGCCAUCAUUUAGUUGGGCACUCUGAAAGAACUGCCAGUGAUAAGCUGGAGGAAGGUGGGGAUGACGUCAAGUCCUCAUGGCCCUUACGUGUUGGGCUACACACGUGCUACAAUGGUAUCUACAACAGGAAGCAAGACGGCGACGUUAAGCAAAUCCUUAAAAGAUACCUCAGUUCGGAUUACACUCUGCAACUCGAGUG